This 288-nucleotide ribosomal RNA is filed under the name uncultured prokaryote. RNAcentral describes it as "partial 16S ribosomal RNA". It matches the Rfam family "Bacterial small subunit ribosomal RNA", at positions 524 to 815 of the family's 1533-position model. The record is from RNAcentral.
UACGUAGGGGGCUAGCGUUAUCCGGAUUUACUGGGCGUAAAGGGUGCGUAGGUGGUUUCUUAAGUCAGGAGUGAAAGGCUACGGCUUAACCGUAGUAAGCUCUUGAAACUGGGAAACUUGAGUGCAGGAGAGGAAAGUGGAAUUCCUAGUGUAGCGGUGAAAUGCGUAGAUAUUAGGAGGAACACCAGUAGCGAAGGCGGCUUUCUGGACUGUAACUGACACUGAGGCACGAAAGCGUGGGGAGCAAACAGGAUUAGAUACCCCCGUAGUCCCUGAGCGGGCUGGCAA